UUUCAAUAUUUUCUGCUAAAUAUAUUUCGGCGCACUGUUUAUCUAGGGUUUCAGCUUUCAGACCUUUAUGUACUUUUGUCACCUUGAGGCUGUUCCACUGAAAAAUGGGGUAUGUUUAUUAAAGAGGACUUUCUGUGCUGGGCCCUAAGGUAGUGGGAAUGUCUGUUUGGGUCUGUCUGUAUGAGGAGGGCUUCAAGGGGAGGCCCAAGUCCAAGGCACGUUUGAUUUGUGGAGCCCUUUUGACAAUGCAGGCCCAACAUAGCUCAGACGAACCCUUUAAUACAGCAGAAUGUUGAACCAAAUGAGUAUUUCUUCCUAAGUGCACGGCUGACAUGGAGGCCCAGACAGGAGAGACUGAAAAUGCCCCAGCUUCCUGGGACUUCGCUGUGAUUGCUUUUAAUGCGCCUCUCCCUGGGUGUCUGCUUAUGAUUGUCACGGCAAUUCUGGCCAGGGUGACGCGCUCUGUCUCACUGGAAUUUCCUGACUUCAAGUAGCCCCUUCCAAAUAAAUAAAUUAAUCAAUAAAAGCCAUCUGCUUCACCUGGCCGGCAGGCACAGCACUGGAAGGGGUGGCGCUGAACGCGAUUUUUUAGGAGCGGUUGGCCCUUGAGACGUUUCGAGGACGACAACAGAGGGGCGUCGCUGGUGCGGCCCCUCUGCACCAGGACCUGAGGAGCCGGCUUCCCAGAAGCCCGUGGAUUAGGAAGGUCUGCUGGGGCUGCUUCAGGAGCUGGCGGCAUCAGGAAUUAAUGGAGGACGUCAUGGAGUCCCUCACCUUGGAUACUGGCUUCUCAAAGCAUUCCUGUGGCGGUUAAUUGUUGCUUCUGGCUGGGUGGCUGGUGAUGCUGGUGACAAGGUGCAGAAUCUCAAGAGCCAGGAAAUUUAGAGGCUUGGAUCAGAUAGUGUGUAGCUAGGCAGCUGCUGCCAGCUGUGCUAAAACCAGGUAGUGAGGUGGGCUGUCAUUAACCUGAGGGUCUACAAGGCAGUCCCAGCAGAUCAGCUCAUGGCGAAGAGACUGAGGGGAAAGGCCCCAGUUCAUGCUGCAGCCCUCCCGGCAACCAGGAGGGCUUGGUGGCAGUUGUUCUGACAGCUGCUGAGGGCUUCAGCUGCCGAAAAAGCCAUUUGCUCAGGCCUACCCUGUCUGGCCAACUUCUACGUAUUUAAAGGCUCCUCCUUGGUCUCUGAGGCCCCCCCUCUCCACCUGAGUCCUCAGGCAAAGACGCGUCUUUGGAAGCACCGGCAACCGCCUGGGAGACCUUCGCCCCGUCGUCUGCCUGUCCACUGCUGCUGUAACCUGCCCACAGUCAUCAAGAUCAGUUAGCAAAUUCCCAAAUUAAGAUUCUGUUGACUUUGUUGUUCCAAAGGCUUGUUUUCAGCAGGAUGUUGUGCUUUAAUUAAAAAUAUGAGAGCUCAUGAGUAAGUAAAACUAUUUCUGAAUCUUCGCAAGGAUGUCUGAAUUGCGUUUCUUGCAUCUCACCGCAGGGGUUCAGCUCUCUAAGACCACUGAAAACUUUC
Molecule: long non-coding RNA, 1514 nt
Filed under: Equus asinus (donkey)
Lineage: Eukaryota; Metazoa; Chordata; Mammalia; Perissodactyla; Equidae
Description: lncRNA (ENSEASG00005030250.1)
Source: RNAcentral